AGAGUUUGAUCCUGGCUCAGAUUGAACGCUGGCGGCAUGCCUUACACAUGCAAGUCGAACGGCAGCACGGGAGCAAUCCUGGUGGCGAGUGGCGAACGGGUGAGUAAUAUAUCGGAACGUGCCCAGUCGUGGGGGAUAACGCAGCGAAAGCUGUGCUAAUACCGCAUACGAUCUCUGGAUGAAAGCGGGGGACUCGCAAGGGCCUCGCGCGAUUGGAGCGGCCGAUAUCAGAUUAGCUAGUUGGUGGGGUAAAAGCUCACCAAGGCGACGAUCUGUAGCUGGUCUGAGAGGACGACCAGCCACACUGGAACUGAGACACGGUCCAGACUCCUACGGGAGGCAGCAGUGGGGAAUUUUGGACAAUGGGCGCAAGCCUGAUCCAGCAAUGCCGCGUGCAGGAUGAAGGCCUUCGGGUUGUAAACUGCUUUUGUACGGAACGAAACGGUCUCUUCUAAUACAGGGGGCUAAUGACGGUACCGUAAGAAUAAGCACCGGCUAACUACGUGCCAGCAGCCGCGGUAAUACGUAGGGUGCGAGCGUUAAUCGGAAUUACUGGGCGUAAAGCGUGCGCAGGCGGUGAUGUAAGACAGAUGUGAAAUCCCCGGGCUCAACCUGGGACCUGCAUUUGUGACUGCAUAGCUAGAGUACGGUAGAGGGGGAUGGAAUUCCGCGUGUAGCAGUGAAAUGCGUAGAUAUGCGGAGGAACACCGAUGGCGAAGGCAAUCCCCUGGACCUGUACUGACGCUCAUGCACGAAAGCGUGGGGAGCAAACAGGAUUAGAUACCCUGGUAGUCC
This 795-nucleotide ribosomal RNA is filed under the name uncultured bacterium. Its description in RNAcentral is "bacterial SSU rRNA". It matches the Rfam family "Bacterial small subunit ribosomal RNA", at positions 8 to 796 of the family's 1533-position model. The record is from RNAcentral.